GAUGAACGCUAGCUACAGGCUUAACACAUGCAAGUCGAGGGGUAACGAGAGGAAAGCUUGCUUUCCCUGUCGACGACCGGCGCACGGGUGAGUAACGCGUAUCCAACCUGCCCCCAACUAGGGAAUAACCUUGCGAAAGUAAGACUAAUACCCUAUAAUUUCCUCAGAUGUCAUCUGACGAGGAAUAAAGAUUUAUCGGUUGUGGAUGGGUGUGCGUCUGAUUAGCUUGUUGGCGGGGGAACGGCCCACCAAGGCAACGAUCAGUAGGGGUUCUGAGAGGAAGGUCCCCUACAUUGGAACUGAGACACGGUCCAAACUCCUACGGGAGGCAGCAGUGAGGAAUAUUGGUCAAUGGGCGGAAGCCUGAACCAGCCAAGUAGCGUGCAGGAUGACGGCCCUAUGGGUUGUAAACUGCUUUUAUACAGGAAUAAAGUUAGCCACGUGUGGUUAUUUGUAGGUACUGUAUGAAUAAGGACCGGCUAAUUCCGUGCCAGCCGCCGCAGUAA
Molecule: ribosomal RNA, 506 nt
Filed under: uncultured bacterium
Lineage: Bacteria
Description: partial 16S ribosomal RNA
Rfam family: Bacterial small subunit ribosomal RNA
Source: RNAcentral